UACGGAGGGUGCAAACGUUGCUCGGAAUCAUUGGGCGUAAAGCGCACGUAGGCGGCCUGUUAAGUCGGGUGUGAAAUCCCCGGGCUCAACCUGGGAAUUGCGAUGGAGACUGCAAGGCUAGAAUCUGGCAGAGGGGGGUAGAAUUCCACGUGUAGCAGUGAAAUGCGUAGAUAUGUGGAGGAACACCGAUGGCGAAGGCAGCCCCCUGGGUCAAGAUUGACGCUCAUGCACGAAAGCGUGGGGAGCAAACAGG
Molecule: ribosomal RNA, 253 nt
Filed under: uncultured prokaryote
Description: partial 16S ribosomal RNA
Rfam family: Bacterial small subunit ribosomal RNA
Source: RNAcentral